Biomphalaria glabrata is the source of this 4173-nucleotide long non-coding RNA. RefSeq lists it as uncharacterized. The record is from RefSeq and is a predicted model, not a curated record. NCBI's taxonomy places the organism in Eukaryota, Metazoa, Mollusca, Gastropoda, Planorbidae. The transcript is spliced from 4 exons.
CUUUCUUUCCACAAGAUGGAAGCAAGCCGGUCUCAAUCUAAAUCCAGAUAAGUAUCAAUUUGUUUGCAUCACAAAGUGACACAAGUACCAACUAUCCGCCACUCAUCAUCAUCCUCAUCAAACUCCAUUAGAGUGAGGGCUUGAGAGGCUCAAAUCCUCUCUUGCAAAACCCUGGACAGGAAUCAUGCCAACAGGAGAGUGGCCUGUCCUGCACUGUGCUAUAAUAGCUUGCUCAGGCCAGGACAGCCUUCACCACGGGGAAGUGCGGUCAGGGCGCCUCAUGCGCUCCCAGACUCCACGGGCUUUUUGGGACUUGUCCCAGCAAUCCUAUCCGCCACUACAACUUGAGAACUUUAUGAUUGCUGUCUGAACAAAUCUUUUAAAGUAUAAUAAAGUUCUAAACAGAUCAUCUGUAUACAACAUCAAAUCUUAGUGAAUAAAUCACUUUACUUCGACAUCAUUGAAGCUUAGAUCCAGAACCAUGUAACAUCAUCAACAGCAGAGUCAACACAUCAAGACUAACAUCAUUGACUGCUGAGAAAACACUAGAGCCUGUGUGCGUGAAAAACUCUGCAGAUUUCUUAGCCUGUUUUUGUGACAGAUGAAUAGCCCCCCCCCCAUGUGUUUUUUAUGGCACAUUAUACAACAUGUAGCUUAGGCACUGAUGCAACUACACUGUCUACACGCCUCUUAGGAAACUGGACAUUCCUAUCUAGGUCAUUAAAUGUACCAGUUGAUCUUCUGCAAGCGCAAGCUUGAAUGAACAGACUCUCAGACCAGUUUCAGUUAUACACACACAAACUAUAUGAACGAUAUGUUUAUUCAAGCUAAAAAAAUAAUAGAGUCUUUAUUUUCAAAGACAUCGUAAAGAACGUGAAUGUUAAAGUAGUUGUCAUUGUACCGCUACAUCCCCAUAUCUUCAAUAGUUCACAACAUCGCCUAUUUUAUACAAGCAACUUUAUUUCAAGCUUUCACUAUUUCAAAAUAUUGACUAUACAUGCAAGAGGUAUAGAACUUUUAAGACUGACCGGGAGAUUCAUACAGUGCUCGAAUCUACUCGUGACCCAAAAGUUGACCUAUUUUAUUGAAACCAGGUGUGUUAUAAUCUCCCCCAGUCAACUACACACAUUGUUUUAUUAUAUUUUAUUUACCCUACGGAUAACAUUAUGUUAAAAAAGAAUUUUACUGAACUAUUUGGAUUUUUCAAUUACAAUGCAUUAAUGGAGCAGUAUGGAUUAUUUGAAUUACAUGGAUUAAUGGAGCAGUAUGGAUUAUUUGAAUUACAUGGAUUAAUGGAGCAGUAUGAAUUAUUUGAAUUACAUGGAUUAAUGGAGCAAUAUGGAUUAUUUGAAUUACAUGGAUUAAUGGAGCAGUAUGGAUUAUUUGAAUUACAUGGAUUAAUGGAGCAGUAUGGAUUAUUUGAAUUACAUGGAUUAAUGGAGCAGUAUGGAUUAUUUGAAUUACAUGGAUUAAUGGAGCAGUAUGGAUUAUUUGAAUUACAUGGAUUAAUGGAGCAGUAUGGAUUAUUUGAAUUACAUGGAUUAAUGGAGCAGUAUGGAUUAUUUGAAUUACAUGGAUUAAUGGAGCAGUAUGGAUUAUUUGAAUUACAUGGAUUAAUGGAGCAGUAUGGAUUAUUUGAAUUACAUGGAUUAAUGGAGCAGUAUGGAUUAUUUGAAUUACAUGGAUUAAUGGAGCAGUAUGGAUUAUUUGAAUUACAUGGAUUAACGGAAAACUAUGGUGUUACCAUAAGAUUCUUGUGUUGCCAGGUUGCUAUACUCACAGUAAACCGAACAGAAAUACACUAAGAUACUCUCACUGCGUUCUAUAUAAGCAAAACAUUUUGUUGUCUGUCUAGGACAAAAUACAAUCACAACUUCAGAGAGGACAGAUGAAGCUGGAAGGAAUCUGGACAGAACCUGGACACGCAUCUCAAAAAACGAAACGGCUCUAAAGAUUUUCCUAAGACAGUUGAUGUAUAUCGCUAAGAAAAGAAUAACUAGCUUGUUUACCCAACCGGGAAAAUUCUGGUUUGACCGUUAUCAUAAAGCUAAAGAUAUAAAUGAAUUUUAAAUUGGCUUGUAAACUAGGUCUAGAUCUAGAUCCAACAUUGUUUAUGAAAGGACUAUCGCGUUCGGGAAUUUCCGAAUGUAAGGUAUUAUUGAUUGAAGAGUUUUUAUAAAUUUAUUUAUUUAUUAUUAUUUUUAUUAUAAUAUAAUAGCUAUUCUUAUUCUAAAAAAUUAAACAAUAUAUUAUAAUACAAGACUUAUAAAACCAAUUAACUUACCCUCUUGACACCAACUCAACCAAGCAUUGUGGAAUAGCAGCCGACAACAUGCAGACCUCAAUUUAUAAUAUUAAGCCAACGAGUGACUUCCUGUCUAUAUGACUUCUUUGUUUAAUUUGAUUUUAAUUGACGAGUACUACGCAUAAAUAGUCAAAUUGGAAACAUCCUAAAAUGAUAUUUAAUAGCAGAACUUAAAAAGAUUACCAAGAAAGCACAGGCGUAGCUACCAAUGUGCGGAUGGAGCGGACCGCUCGGGCCAUCAAGUGGCCAUCAAACUGAGGACAAACUUUCUUGGUAAAAAUGACACAUUAUAAGUACAUGACUAGAUUGACCUAGCGAAACGUGUAGCACAUGUAGCAGAUAUGUAUGUAUUUCAUAAGAUAAGAUGAACACAAACAAACAAAUGUAAUUACUUUACCUUCUAUAUACUUUUUAUAACUAAAUUGAAUGUAAGCUGUUCACUAGAAUGAAUCAAAUUUUACCAAAUUUGUUUAACUUUCUUAAGGCAACAAACUUGUACUCUUUCUUCUGGGCCCAUGGUACUUGUUACUUCAUUGGUUUUCAAUGAGGAACAAUGCUAUAAUGGUGAUUUUUUCAUUACUAAUUAAUUAACUCUUUCUCUCCUAACAGACGACACCAACGUUGAUUCCACCUGAAUGUGGUAAAUAAUUACGGAGAGAAAGAGUUAAUUGUAAUACUGGAAUGUAAAGAAAGUCAACGUAAGGAAAGGCGAGGGAGCUUUCAAAUGCUUGGUUCUUCCAGCUAAUUUCAAACGGCAAGAAAGUGGAUGUGUUAACCGCUAUUAGUUUAGUGUGGUAUGUCGGUCCAUAAAUAACUCCAUUAAUUACUCAUUCAUAGAGUCGCGCAUUGAUACAAAAUAUUUGCAUGUAAGGUCACAGUGGAGAAAGUAUAAAUUCCGAUUCAUUAACUAACUAAUUGAAUUGAACAGAAGUGCUUGUUUCUCAAACUUCUUUACAUGACAUUUCCAAACAAUAAAUAAAUGCUAGAUGGGGUUUUAGGAGCAACAGAAGUCAGCGCCAAGCAUUUCCCUGCAUUCUGAACUACUUGAACUCAUUACUCUCUCGUCUACAACGCACAACUUCAAGUUCAAGACACCCGCCGUUAAUGAUAUUUGAGAAACGUUCAUAUCAUCUAAUGUAUGUUUUAUAAAAAGCCUAAGCAAAAUCUAUUAGUGUAAUCAAAGCUUUUUAAAAUUGGAUCUGUUUUUGAUGUCGCAAAGACGUCGAUACAACGCCUGGUCAUGCAGUAGGCGCGCUGGACUGUCGUUCGGGACUUAUUGACGGUCCCGGGUUCAAACCCUACCCGCUGCCAUCCCGCGACGUCCUGCGGGAGGUUUGGACUAGGAAGUAAAUUAUCUUCAAUUCUGAAGGAACAUGCGAAAACAUGUCAAACAUAAAACAAAACGACAAAUGGGAACGAGGAAAAAAAUACUGAAGCUUUCUGUCAAGAGCAUGCGCUGGUAGAGAAAUGUCUUAUUUAAAUCUACUUUGAUUUCAUCAAUAUUCAAUACAACAGAAUAACAAUAAAACUAUCGUCUCGCGCUCUCUUUAAUUAAAGAAGUACUAUUGAAGUUAUUGCUAUAGUACUAAGCAUCAGUUUUAGAAAAUAAAAUAUGUAUGCACUAAAAGUAAAGGCGGUUGAUCGUUGUGCUUGCCACGUGACACCCUCGUUAGAUGUGUGCCACAGAAACAGAUGAUAUUUACAUCAUAUACAUGUAUAAUGUCAGGUAAUGAAAUAAAUAUUUUUUAUAAGAACACAAAGAAGGAGAAGCGUUUUAUUCAAUUGUGUAGUUAUAGGAAUUUAAGAAAAUACAAUAAAAUAUGACAGCUAUUAUGUAGUCCAUGAUAGGUAUAGGCCUAUGGGUAAUA